AUGAACGCUGGCGGCGUGCCUAAUACAUGCAAGUCGAGCGAGCGGACGAGAAGCUUGCUUCUCUGAUGUUAGCGGCGGACGGGUGAGUAACACGUGGAUAACCUACCUAUAAGACUGGGAUAACUUCGGGAAACCGGAGCUAAUACCGGAUGAUAUUUUGAACCGCAUGGUUCAAAAGUGAAAGACGGUCUUGCUGUCACUUAUAGAUGGAGCCGCGCUGCAUUAGCUAGUUGGUAAGGUAACGGCUUACCAAGGCAACGAUGCAUAGCCGACCUGAGAGGGUGAUCGGCCACACUGGAACUGAGACACGGUCCAGACUCCUACGGGAGGCAGCAGUAGGGAAUCUUCCGCAAUGGGCGAAAGCCUGACGGAGCAACGCCGCGUGAGUGAUGAAGGUCUUCGGAUCGUAAAACUCUGUUAUUAGGGAAGAACAUAUGUGUAAGUAACUGUGCACAUCUUGACGGUACCUAAUCAGAAAGCCACGGCUAACUACGUG
RNAcentral lists this ribosomal RNA (496 nucleotides) under uncultured bacterium. Its description in RNAcentral is "partial 16S ribosomal RNA". It matches the Rfam family "Bacterial small subunit ribosomal RNA", at positions 29 to 507 of the family's 1533-position model. The record is from RNAcentral.